RNAcentral lists this ribosomal RNA (497 nucleotides) under uncultured bacterium. RNAcentral's name for it is "partial 16S ribosomal RNA". It matches the Rfam family "Bacterial small subunit ribosomal RNA", at positions 28 to 507 of the family's 1533-position model. The record is from RNAcentral.
GAUGAACGCUGGCGGCGUGCCUAAUACAUGCAAGUCGAGCGAACAGACGAGGAGCUUGCUCCUCUGACGUUAGCGGCGGACGGGUGAGUAACACGUGGAUAACCUACCUAUAAGACUGGGAUAACUUCGGGAAACCGGAGCUAAUACCGGAUAAUAUAUUGAACCGCAUGGUUCAAUAGUGAAAGACGGUUUUGCUGUCACUUAUAGAUGGAUCCGCGCCGCAUUAGCUAGUUGGUAAGGUAACGGCUUACCAAGUCGACGAUGCGUAGCCGACCUGAGAGGGUGAUCGGCCACACUGGAACUGAGACACGGUCCAGACUCCUACGGGAGGCAGCAGUAGGGAAUCUUCCGCAAUGGGCGAAAGCCUGACGGAGCAACGCCGCGUGAGUGAUGAAGGUCUUCGGAUCGUAAAACUCUGUUAUUAGGGAAGAACAAAUGUGUAAGUAACUAUGCACGUCUUGACGGUACCUAAUCAGAAAGCCACGGCUAACUACGUG